This 462-nucleotide ribosomal RNA is filed under the name uncultured bacterium. RNAcentral's name for it is "bacterial SSU rRNA". It matches the Rfam family "Bacterial small subunit ribosomal RNA", at positions 33 to 507 of the family's 1533-position model. The record is from RNAcentral.
GACGCUGGCGGCGUGCUUAACACAUGCAAGUCGAACGGUGACCCAGGGCUUGCCCUGGUGAUCAGUGGCGAACGGGUGAGUAACACGUGGGCAACCUGCCCCUGACUUCGGGAUAACUCCUCGAAAGAGGAGCUAAUACCGGAUACGACCACUUCGGACAUCCGAUGGUGGUGGAAAGUUUUUCGGUCAGGGAUGGGCCCGCGGCCUAUCAGCUAGUUGGUGGGGUAAUGGCCUACCAAGGCGACGACGGGUAGCCGGCCUGAGAGGGCGACCGGCCACACUGGGACUGAGACACGGCCCAGACUCCUACGGGAGGCAGCAGUGGGGAAUAUUGCGCAAUGGGCGAAAGCCUGACGCAGCGACGCCGCGUGAGGGAUGAAGGCCUUCGGGUUGUAAACCUCUUUCAGCAGGGACGAAGCGAAAGUGACGGUACCUGCAGAAGAAGCACCGGCUAACUACGUG